CUCCUGGCCCGGCCUCGCUCCCUAAAUUGGGGUUUGGGGGGCGUCGAAAAAGGUGGGAGGGGGAGGGCCUAGGCAAGGAAGGCAGGAGGAGGGAGGAGGGUGGUUGAGAAGGAGGGAGGGAGGGAGGGAGGAGGAGGGCCUCCUCCUCGCGGUGGGAGCGGAGGGAGGGGCGGAGCAGCAGCGGCCGCGCGCAGCGGGCGCGGGCAGGUGGCUCCAGUGUCUGGAUUGACUUCAGCUCCGUGACAAGGUAUUAGCCGCGCCCACCACGAGACGAGUAUUCCUUAGUAAGUAAGAAGAAAAUACGACGGCCCGGGUCCUGUUUACCGGGUCGACAACGUGGGAGUCCUGAGACCCAAAAUACCUUCCUUCCUUUACCCCCCGGCUACCUCGAAAGAACUCAACAAACCGGAAGCGGCCGCGGAUGCCAGGUGCUUCUUCUACUAGAGACUGUUCUUUGUACCUUCAUCCGAAGCUCCAACGAUACAAGGUAAGUUUCUGCUUCUGUCACCACAGUGCCUACUCGUCUCUCGACAGUAUCUACUCAUGUUUUUGUGAUUUCAAUUUUUAUUUGUGUUCCCAAGUUUUUUCUCAAGACCAUUCAGCCCAGACUUCAGUAAUAAAAGUUCUUUUAACAUGCCUUUCCUUCUAGUCUUUCUCUUCUACGAAGGACAACCUGGUUUCGACGACGCGUGGGAAAGCUAUGUAAUGAACCUUUUGUUACUGAUACAAGACUUACCAGUCAGUCGACGGUUACCACUGUCAAGAAGUGUGCUGCGAUUUGACAGUGAUGGUUUACUGUGGUCAUGUUUGAACGUUGUCCUAUGCAAUUCGUUGGACCUACCAAGACCAUGACUGGUACACUUUGCCUUCUCGGUGGCAUCGUAGAGGUACCUACCCUAAGAAGUGUUCCAUGGGAUACCCGUCUCCGAAAGACCUCUAUUGUAAUCUGUUCUUGAAGGAGCUAGUCGGAGACGGUGUAUACUGUCCCUACCAGACUUUGGAACGUAACCAUGACGACGUUUCUCUGUACCCUUGUCGCCAAAAGCCGCAAGCGCAAGGGAUAGACUUAGUGACCUCUCGAUGAGAGUGAACGAACUAAGGUAAAGUUCGUCACUUAGGUUUUCCGACGACUGUUCGAGCUUCAGGUGAUCCCUAGUGAGAAACCUACCGGAACCACGUCGUUGACGUGACGUCUCUUGAAGGUAAAGAGUCGAGUCUAGUUUUUCACACCAAUCUGAACGACUUAAAGAACACUAAGGUCUUCUGUGUAACCGUGGUCUUCAAGGUCUCCUUUAUCAACCUCUACACUUUGAACGACACCUACUCCCAAGAACAUUACUCCAACGACCACCGAGACUCCUAGGACACAGUGAACUUCUCAACAACUCGCUCACGCUGCAGCACCUUAGUAGCUGACUUCUGUUAAAUACAUAACGAGGAAAUCGAAGUCUCCACCAACUACAAAGUCUUCUUGUUCGAGGAAAUCGAAGAAGUCUCUACCAACUACAAAGUCUUCUUCGACGUUGAAUACUACUACUAGACCUCCAAGAGAGUAGCUGGGUUCGGUUCGACACAUGGCUGGGAAGUCGUAGACUUCAACUGUAGGGUCUUCUUGUACGUUGUUGGACAUUACUACUACUAGAAUAAGUGAGCAGUUGACCUCGACUAGGAACGUGAGAAGAAUCAGAAGACGAUAGUCGUCUGCAGCUGUAACGUCUUGUCGUUCACGGUGGAAGACUACUAGUUUAAGCCAGUACGUAGUGGGUUGGAAGUCUUCUGUAGCUGUAACGUCUUCUUGACCGUUGUUAGAGACUUCUGUUAGUCUAGGUAAGUAAGCUAAGAAACUUUAGUCAGUUUCCAUGAUCGACACAGGGACUGGGGUUAUCUCUAUGACUUCUACUCAAUUUAAAUACGACACUUGUUCUUUGACUUUCAGGUUGGAGACAAGACCUACACCGGAAGAGUCUGGUAGGACGACGAUCAAGUCUCUUGGUUUGUUACGACUUACUAAGCAGCGACCACCUUUUUUGACAGGUAAGUUUACUUCGUGUACUGGUAAGUCAACCGUGACUACUACUAGAACUAAGAUCGUGAAGACAGUUUGGUGGUUGAUCGAGUAGCUGACUCCUCUUGUAUGAAGAAGUCCUCUUGUUGGAGUGGCUGGAGUUGCGAGAGGUUCUUCGUCGUCUACUAGGUUUCUUGCUCCGGCUCGACCGCAUGCAGUUGCUGUAUAAGUUGUUCAGCUCGAAGGCGCUGCUCCGCGACAAGCUUCGAACCGCGAGCGUCUUGGCGCGGCGCGAGGUCCUCCUGCUGACGGUCGUGAUGCUGCGGCGCCGCCGCCGGUAGCUGAAGUGGCUGUACAGCCGGCUGCUCGACGAGGAGAAGCUGGACUGUUUGCUCCGCGACGAGCUCCAGAUGUUCCUGAUGCGGCGGCCGCUCAGGUCCGUCGGGGCGAAGAGGAGGAAGGUCGCCGGGUUCGGGCAGCCGCUGGCGCGGGAGUCCCUCGACGCCAGGUCCCACCCGGCGGUCGAUCUGCUCGCCGGCGUCAGGCCGCACCUCCAGCUGCAGCUGCGGCACGACAGCUCGCUGGACCCGUUCCGCCUCGCGACCUCGUUGAAGGCCGCUCUCCGGCUGGUCCACCGCUCGGACCACCGGUUGAGGCACGAGCUGUCCGAGCAGUGGCUCGAGCGCGAGGUCGAGCGUUUCAAAACUCAGAACUACUAUCUAUCAAUCGGUAAGUAAAUAAGACGGACGGGGUAAAAAAUAACCAAUCAAUUAAUUAAAUCGACGAACUACUACUACUAUAUAUGUGGUACCUUCACACUCCCCUACAAUGUAAUGUAAUGUAAUGUUAUAGUACAUCUAUAGUCUUUGGUAAAAACCAAGAAAGGAGGACCCUCUCCUCUCCUCUUAUGUAUCCUUGUACUCAGUCCUCUUACAACAAUCCAGUAGAAUCACACUACUCAGUAGAUCUGAUCAACGACUCUUAACUCACCUGUACCCUCCGUGAACAAAACAUGAUCACAGACAAAACUUACAUAGAACGAAGUCCAUUCUUUUUAGAACCUUGUUGUUAAACAGCC
Molecule: ribosomal RNA, 3083 nt
Filed under: Triticum aestivum (bread wheat)
Lineage: Eukaryota; Viridiplantae; Streptophyta; Magnoliopsida; Poales; Poaceae
Description: partial small subunit ribosomal RNA
Source: RNAcentral